This is a long non-coding RNA of Oreochromis niloticus (Nile tilapia), 485 nucleotides long. RefSeq lists it as uncharacterized. The record is from RefSeq and is a predicted model, not a curated record. The transcript is spliced from 3 exons. Lineage: Eukaryota; Metazoa; Chordata; Actinopteri; Cichliformes; Cichlidae.
GACCGCCACCUGCUGGAUGGUGAGUGCAGAGGGGCAUGUAAUUGUUGAGCUGGACAAAGAGAACACCUUUGCUGAUGCGAUGUCUUCUUUGGUUCAUUCUAUGUAUUGAACCUGGAAUACCAGGAGUCAGCGUGUGCAACAUUGGAACUGAUUCAGAGGUUUUUUGUAAGGAUAAACCAUGAAGAGGGAACAAAAUGUACCUCCAAGGUUGGGACAAGCAGAAAGACUGGGACCACUGUGAAGAAAAAGGUUGUUCACAUUAACCCUCAUGUCACAACUUUCCUCCAGCGGCUUACUGAAUUUGAGUGGAAAACUUCAAAUUAGAUGAUCCAUGGCCCAUGCUUUCUGGACAUUUACACAAGACGAACAACAAUGAAGACAAGCUCUCUCACCAUCUUACAAGAAGCUGUCUCUGUCCAAUAGGUUUUUUGAGUGCAACAGUUUUGAUUUUUUUUCCUUCUCUUACCCGAAAUUAUUUCAGCUAC